This 67-nucleotide transfer RNA is filed under the name Malayotyphlops ruber. Its description in RNAcentral is "tRNA-Val". It matches the Rfam family "tRNA". Rfam says of the family: Transfer RNA (tRNA) molecules are approximately 80 nucleotides in length. Their secondary structure includes four short double-helical elements and three loops (D, anti-codon, and T loops). The record is from RNAcentral. Lineage: Eukaryota; Metazoa; Chordata; Lepidosauria; Squamata; Typhlopidae.
CAAAAAGUAGCUUAAACUAAAGCACUUGACUUACAAUCAAGCUAUAUUAAAACACUAAUCUUUUUGA